Non-coding RNA from Triticum aestivum (bread wheat), 135 nucleotides. The record is from Rfam. Lineage: Eukaryota; Viridiplantae; Streptophyta; Magnoliopsida; Poales; Poaceae.
UUUCUACUCCCUCCAUCCGAAAAUACUUGUCAUCAAAAUGGAUAAAAAGAGAUGUAUCUAAAACUAAAAUAUGUCUAGAUACAUUUCCUUUUAUCCAUUUUGAUGACAAGUAUUUCCGGACGGAGGGAGUAUUUG